AGCUUUGCGCAGUGGCAGUAUCGUAACCAAUAAGGUUUAUCCGAGGCGCGAUUGUUGCUAACUGAAGUCAGGGGCCAAGGCUGCCCACCUCUCACAUCCCAGGUACUAGAGGGCCUCCCUUGGCCUCAAAGGAAGAUGGUUCUGCAGAGCCAGGAAUGGC
Molecule: small nuclear RNA, 160 nt
Filed under: Neogale vison (American mink)
Lineage: Eukaryota; Metazoa; Chordata; Mammalia; Carnivora; Mustelidae
Description: Neovison vison (American mink) U4 spliceosomal RNA (ENSNVIG00000016964.1)
Rfam family: U4 spliceosomal RNA
About the family: U4 small nuclear RNA (U4 snRNA) is a component of the major U2-dependent spliceosome. The structure of U4 snRNA from yeast and human has been reported. U4 snRNA presents a k-turn RNA motif in the 5p-SL related to recognition of Snu13 protein.
Source: Rfam by way of RNAcentral